CAUUACCGAGUUUACAACUCCCAAACCCCUGUGAACAUACCUUAAUGUUGCCUCGGCGGAUCAGCCCGCGCCCCGUAAAACGGGACGGCCCGCCAGAGGACCCAAACUCUAAUGUUUCUUAUUGUAACUUCUGAGUAAAACAAACAAAUAAAUCAAAACUUUCAACAACGGAUCUCUUGGUUCUGGCAUCGAUGAAGAACGCAGCAAAAUGCGAUAAGUAAUGUGAAUUGCAGAAUUCAGUGAAUCAUCGAAUCUUUGAACGCACAUUGCGCCCGCUGGUAUUCCGGCGGGCAUGCCUGUUCGAGCGUCAUUUCAACCCUCAAGCCCCCGGGUUUGGUGUUGGGGAUCGGCUCUGCCCUUCUGGGCGGUGCCGCCCCCGAAAUACAUUGGCGGUCUCGCUGCAGCCUCCAUUGCGUAGUAGCUAACACCUCGCAACUGGAACGCGGCGCGGCCAUGCCGNNAAACCCCAACUUCUGAAUGUUGACCUCGGAUCAGGUAGGAAUACCCGCUGAACUUAAGCAUAUCAA
RNAcentral lists this ribosomal RNA (527 nucleotides) under Fusarium acuminatum. RNAcentral describes it as "eukaryotic LSU rRNA". The stretch from base 157 to 310 matches the Rfam family "5.8S ribosomal RNA". Lineage: Eukaryota; Fungi; Ascomycota; Sordariomycetes; Hypocreales; Nectriaceae. The record is from RNAcentral.